UUAAACGGCCGCGGUAUCCUAACCGUGCAAAGGUAGCGUAAUCACUUGUCCCCUAAAUAGGGACUAGUAUGAAUGGUUAAAUGAGGAUAGACCUGUCUCUCAUGGAAAAUCAGUGAAACUGAACUCCCAGUACAAAUGCUGGGAUAUACACAUAAGACGAGAAGACCCUGCGGAGCUUUUAAACAACCCUCAAACAAUAAAUUGAGUACGAGUUUUCAGUUGGGGCGACUUCGGAACAAAACCAAGCUUCCGAGCAUAAGAGAUCAUCUCUUGCAACGGCUGACAAGCCAAAGCACUAAAAUAAUGACCCGGGUAAAAACCCGAUUAACGAACCAAGUUACCCCAGGGAUAACAGCGCUAUCUUCUUUUAGAGUCCAUAUCAACAAGUAAGGCUUACGACCUCGAUGUUGGAUCAGGACAC
This 421-nucleotide ribosomal RNA is filed under the name Cordylus cordylus (Cape girdled lizard). Its description in RNAcentral is "partial large subunit ribosomal RNA". It matches the Rfam family "Bacterial large subunit ribosomal RNA", at positions 1923 to 2545 of the family's 2925-position model. The record is from RNAcentral. Lineage: Eukaryota; Metazoa; Chordata; Lepidosauria; Squamata; Cordylidae.